UACGGAGGGUGCAAGCGUUAUCCGGAUUCACUGGGUUUAAAGGGUGCGUAGGCGGAAUUGUAAGUCCGUGGUGAAAUCUCCAAGCUUAACUUGGAAACUGCCGUGGAUACUAUAAUUCUUGGAUGUUGUGGAGGUUAGCGGAAUAUGUCAUGUAGCGGUGAAAUGCAUAGAUAUGACAUAGAACACCAAUUGCGAAGGCAGCUGGCUACACAAAUAUUGACGCUGAGGCACGAAAGCGUGGGGAUCAAACAGG
RNAcentral lists this ribosomal RNA (253 nucleotides) under uncultured bacterium. RNAcentral's name for it is "partial 16S ribosomal RNA". It matches the Rfam family "Bacterial small subunit ribosomal RNA", at positions 524 to 776 of the family's 1533-position model. The record is from RNAcentral.